RNAcentral lists this ribosomal RNA (495 nucleotides) under uncultured bacterium. Its description in RNAcentral is "bacterial SSU rRNA". It matches the Rfam family "Bacterial small subunit ribosomal RNA", at positions 903 to 1397 of the family's 1533-position model. The record is from RNAcentral.
AAAGGAAUUGACGGGGACCCGCACAAGCAGCGGAGCAUGUGGUUUAAUUCGAAGCAACGCGAAGAACCUUACCAAGGCUUGACAUAUAGAGGGCGUAUUUAGAGAUAAAUAUUCCUCUUCGGAGGCCUCUAUACAGGUGGUGCAUGGUUGUCGUCAGCUCGUGUCGUGAGAUGUUGGGUUAAGUCCCGCAACGAGCGCAACCCUUAUAUCUAGUUGCCAGCAUUUCGGAUGGGGACUCUAGAUAGACUGCCGAUGACAAAUCGGAGGAAGGUGGGGAUGACGUCAAAUCAUCAUGCCCUAUAUGCCUUGGGCAACACACGUGCUACAAUGGAAGGUACAAAGGGAAGCCAAAUCGCGAGGUGGAGCAAACCUCAAAAAGCCUUUCCCAGUUCGGAUUGUUCUCUGCAACUCGAGAACAUGAAGCUGGAGUUGCUAGUAAUCGCAGAUCAGAAUGCUGCGGUGAAUGCGUUCCCGGGUCUUGUACACACCGCCCGU